AAUGACCCAAAAGGAAAGUCAAAGAUUGUUUUUGGUCACGAGACUGUAUCUGCAAAGGUUCAUCCUAAGCUCAAAUCAAAGUUUUAUGUUGGAGAUAAAGGGCUUUCGACAAAGGUUGAACGAAAAGGAAAAUCAGCUGAUUAUGUUUCUGAGCAAAAUCUGUCUUCUCACGUUGUCUCUCAAGUAAGAUACCGUA
Helianthus annuus (common sunflower) is the source of this 196-nucleotide long non-coding RNA. RefSeq lists it as uncharacterized. Lineage: Eukaryota; Viridiplantae; Streptophyta; Magnoliopsida; Asterales; Asteraceae. The record is from RefSeq and is a predicted model, not a curated record. The transcript is spliced from 3 exons.